RNAcentral lists this ribosomal RNA (62 nucleotides) under uncultured bacterium. Its description in RNAcentral is "partial 16S ribosomal RNA". The record is from RNAcentral.
ACCUCGAAGACCAGUUAGGCGUGUAACGGCCGCGUGUUUAGGGUUAACCGAUGACUAGGGCU